GACGAACGCUGGCGGCGUGCUUAACACAUGCAAGUCGAACGGAAAGGCCCUGCUUUUGUGGGGUGCUCGAGUGGCGAACGGGUGAGUAACACGUGAGUAACCUGCCCUUGACUUUGGGAUAACUUCAGGAAACUGGGGCUAAUACCGGAUAGGAGCUCCUGCUGCAUGGUGGGGGUUGGAAAGUUUCGGCGGUUGGGGAUGGACUCGCGGCUUAUCAGCUUGUUGGUGGGGUAGUGGCUUACCAAGGCUUUGACGGGUAGCCGGCCUGAGAGGGUGACCGGCCACAAUGGGACUGAGAGACGGCCCAGAAGCCUACGGGAGGCAGCAGUGGGGAAUAUUGCACAAUGGGCGGAAGCCUGAUGCAGCAACGCCGCGUGCGGGAUGACGGCCUUCGGGUUGUAAACCGCUUUCGCCGGUGACGAAGCGUGAGUGACGGUAAUGGGUAAAGAAGCACCGGCUAACUACGUG
This 468-nucleotide ribosomal RNA is filed under the name uncultured bacterium. RNAcentral describes it as "partial 16S ribosomal RNA". It matches the Rfam family "Bacterial small subunit ribosomal RNA", at positions 28 to 507 of the family's 1533-position model. The record is from RNAcentral.